This 133-nucleotide ribosomal RNA is filed under the name Neogale vison (American mink). Lineage: Eukaryota; Metazoa; Chordata; Mammalia; Carnivora; Mustelidae. The record is from RNAcentral.
CGGCCAUACCACCCUGAACGCGCCCGAUCUCGUCUGAUCUCGGAAGCUAAGCAGGGUCGGGCCUGGUUAGUACUUGGAUGGGAGAAGUGACAUUCCGCCUAAAGGAGUUUCCCUUUAUGAGAACUUGCUAUUG